Molecule: ribosomal RNA, 882 nt
Filed under: Staphylococcus succinus subsp. succinus
Lineage: Bacteria; Bacillati; Bacillota; Bacilli; Caryophanales; Staphylococcaceae
Description: bacterial SSU rRNA
Rfam family: Bacterial small subunit ribosomal RNA
Source: RNAcentral
GUCGAGCGAACGGAUAAGGAGCUUGCUCCUUUGAAGUUAGCGGCGGACGGGUGAGUAACACGUGGGUAACCUACCUAUAAGACUGGAAUAACUUCGGGAAACCGGAGCUAAUGCCGGAUAACAUAUAGAACCGCAUGGUUCUAUAGUGAAAGAUGGUUUUGCUAUCACUUAUAGAUGGACCCGCGCCGUAUUAGCUAGUUGGUAAGGUAAUGGCUUACCAAGGCGACGAUACGUAGCCGACCUGAGAGGGUGAUCGGCCACACUGGAACUGAGACACGGUCCAGACUCCUACGGGAGGCAGCAGUAGGGAAUCUUCCGCAAUGGGCGAAAGCCUGACGGAGCAACGCCGCGUGAGUGAUGAAGGUUUUCGGAUCGUAAAACUCUGUUAUUAGGGAAGAACAAAUGCGUAAGUAACUGUGCGCAUCUUGACGGUACCUAAUCAGAAAGCCACGGCUAACUACGUGCCAGCAGCCGCGGUAAUACGUAGGUGGCAAGCGUUAUCCGGAAUUAUUGGGCGUAAAGCGCGCGUAGGCGGUUUCUUAAGUCUGAUGUGAAAGCCCACGGCUCAACCGUGGAGGGUCAUUGGAAACUGGGAAACUUGAGUGCAGAAGAGGAAAGUGGAAUUCCAUGUGUAGCGGUGAAAUGCGCAGAGAUAUGGAGGAACACCAGUGGCGAAGGCGACUUUCUGGUCUGUAACUGACGCUGAUGUGCGAAAGCGUGGGGAUCAAACAGGAUUAGAUACCCUGGUAGUCCACGCCGUAAACGAUGAGUGCUAAGUGUUAGGGGGUUUCCGCCCCUUAGUGCUGCAGCUAACGCAUUAAGCACUCCGCCUGGGGAGUACGACCGCAAGGUUGAAACUCAAAGGAAUUGACGGGGACCCGC